Oreochromis aureus is the source of this 2534-nucleotide long non-coding RNA. The record is from Ensembl. Lineage: Eukaryota; Metazoa; Chordata; Actinopteri; Cichliformes; Cichlidae.
GCACGUUAAUGUUAUUACAUUCUAACUGUUUGAGUGUCUUUAUUCAGCCUGAAGAAUGUCUUAUUAAGAAUACACUCUUGACAUUUAAUUGGUCCUUCGAGCCGGAUUUUGGACAUCGAAUUAUGCUCCAACAGAGUGACCUCGUCGUUUCCUGACAUCGUGGAGAGCCCGCGCUGAAGUCUGUCGACAGCCUCUUUCCUAUGAAAGAGAAAAGACCAACUAUGUGAAUUCGGGGUUGGCCAGCGUUCUUAGUAAGAGGUCCACGAUCCUGGGGAACGAGGAGGAAUCUCUGACCGGCACUUAUAUCAUCAUAACCAGUCUCUUCCAGGUUGAAACCAGGCGACUGGAUCCUGAUCAAGGUUCUCCAGAGGAAAAACUGGAGCUCACCGAGGUGGGAGGGCCCUUUUCAGGUCCUGCUAACGACGCCAACAGCGUGCAAGACCGCUGAAAGACCUUCGUGGAUCCACCAGAGCCACACCAAAAAAAGUACAAGGGGACACAAGCCCAGACGCCAGUUCACCUGUCAUCUAGUGAUCUGUAAGUGGAGGAGAGGGCAGAUUGGGUAUACCCGCCCUCUUGACUUCUCGCUUUCAGUCAACACACUAGGUGAUCUGGUGAACUUGGUCGACCUGAAGAAACCCCAUUGUAGCCCGAGCACCGACCUAGCCCCACCUGCCCGGUAGAGUAAAGGAAGAUCAGUCCAACCUGCAAAACCAGAAGAGCAACCCAUCACUCAAGUAACUACUCAGACACUCACAAACAAUGCCUGACAUAGACGUGCAAAAUGAACAUUCAGACAUUUCAGAUGGAGAGGACCCAGUCCCCAACAGGACUCGACGACGAUGCUGGUCAGAGGAAUGCCAACUAAUGCAUAAUUAUGUACCUCAUAACAAAAUUGAAAUGGCAUUCUUUGUAAACCUACUACAAACUCUAGAAACAGUAAUGAAUACAAGUCUGCGUGCAUGUGCUCCAAAAGAACCAAUAAAGAACUUAACAACACUUCCGGUCACACCGCCCGAACUAGCCCAUAACAUGACCAUGGUCUGCCUAUGGAGACUUAGAGUCCCAGAAAAGCAGGGUGUAUCUUUUGUUUAUCCAAAUAAGACACUGCAACCGGAAUCUUCCUGGCACAAGCUUAUAGCCCGAUAGCAACUGAGGAAGAAGAAGACUGUGUUUAAAAAUUUCCUGUACUUAACAUGACUAGCAAUUGAAAAUGUGCAAACAAGUGAUUGUCUACUGAAGCCUAUGAAGUAUGAGUGAAAUAUAUUAACAACAGGAGGGAAUGUUAUGAGAUUCUAUGUUUUUUAUGUGUUUUAUUCUUUGUUUUAUUAUCUUUUAAUAUUCAAGCAUAUUGUAAAGUGUUUAUAUAUUUCACAGAAUUUGCUGUACUUCUCCAUGUCACAAGAUUCGAUGUAUUGCUCCAUUGUCAUGCAACCCGACAGUGAACUCUGCAAUACAUAUAGUUUAAGCAGGAAACAGAUGCGGGUCACCCAGACUACAAUAGAAAACGGAUGAGGCACCUAAACCACAACAGGAAAACAGAUGCGCGACUCCCUAACCACAAAAGAUUAAGUCAGCGCCACGUCUUUUAGAAAGAAGCAGACACACACACACAUAUACAACUGUUGGUUUAAAGGAAUUUGUAAAAGAGGAAAUGUGACGUAUUUGCAUACGCGAUGUAACCUAUAAAUAAAGAACUGUGCCUGCACUCAGGGUGUGGGUCUCGCCAGAGUCCUCACCCGUGCGUGAGUCUCGUCAGAGUUCUCACCCGUGCACGUUAAUGUUAUUACAUUCUAACUGUUUGAGUGUCUUUAUUCAGCCUGAAGAAUGUCUUAUUAAGAAUACACUCUUGACAAGUAUGCUUGUCGAUAUCAGAAUAUCCCUUUUCUUUGCCUUGAGAAACUCUUGUCUCGUGGGUUGCUUUUGCAGAAUUAUGUAUUUCCGCUGUGAAGCAUUGUCCAAUCAGAUCUGCAGCUUUUAGCUGAAUCUGAGCACAGUAUAGCUCUGUAAACUUCAGAAUUCAUUCUACCACUUAUAUAAGUAGUCACAUCAUCAAUAAACACUAAUGACUGGUUCCACUGCCCGUGCCAUAACACUGGCCCCACAUGGUUGAGAAAUGAUGACAGGUGCCCCUUUCCUUCUGCAUACAUUUCUCGCCCCAUCAUUCAGGUACAAGUUAAUCUUAUUUUCACCUUUGUGGACCUGUACAUACAUAAUAACAACUUAUUUUUAAUGUCAGCUUAAAAGACUCAGUAUUGACAACCUUGGUUACUAUGGAGUGCAAUACUAUAUGAUUUGCUGGCAGGACCAAGUUAACUGUGUGUCUGGUUGUUAGUGAAUUAGCUUGAAUAACUACUGAGGGUAAACAAACCUGGUAAAACGAUCCAGUGGCCUGUAUUAUGAAUAAAGUUCAACAAAACCCUGAGUAUCUUUUCUUUUCUGACAUUGUUUGCUCUAACAAGGGUUAAUAUUUUAAACAGUCAAAGAUUGGCAUGCAAAUGUUUUAACUGAUAAAUUAUUUGAUUACUCUGUGA